AUGAACUUGGGUCAGAAUAUGAACAAAGCUCUCAAGGUGCCGAAGGCGUCCGAUCGAACUCAGCUGGAGGCCAAACAGGUUCGGCUCUCGGACAUGCCACCAUUAACGCUCGAUGACACCGAUNNNNNNNNNCCAGCUGCAAUGAAGUCCUCCAGAGAUAAGGGUUUGCAGAAAAUGAUCUUGGCAUCCCAGAUAAGCAGGUCGAGGUCAAAGCCGGUGCCCAGGGGGAUUUCAAUGGAUCACCAACACGAGAAACUGAAAUGGCAGGACCAGAAAAGAUGGUCCCAGAUCUCACUGCAGCCGGAUGUGCAAGAACACAUCAAUGAUCAUCUGUGA
This 336-nucleotide ribosomal RNA is filed under the name Triticum aestivum (bread wheat). RNAcentral's name for it is "partial small subunit ribosomal RNA". Lineage: Eukaryota; Viridiplantae; Streptophyta; Magnoliopsida; Poales; Poaceae. The record is from RNAcentral.